This is a long non-coding RNA of Nothoprocta perdicaria, 2170 nucleotides long. RefSeq lists it as uncharacterized. The record is from RefSeq and is a predicted model, not a curated record. The transcript is spliced from 4 exons. Lineage: Eukaryota; Metazoa; Chordata; Aves; Tinamiformes; Tinamidae.
GCUUGAUCCAACACUGUUAGUGUGGCUGCUGGCAAGGGCUUCCCGGCUGGCUCAGCAGUAAACCUGUCCUUGCUAAAUCAUACUGAGGUACUUGACAAAAGAACCAUGUUCCAGGAAGAGGACAAUUCCAAACUGAGGAUUUGCUCCACAGAGUUUGUGGCUGCCCUUGAGCUAAGAAUGUCUGACAGAUUUCAAUUAAAGGUCUCUAGUGCUAAAGGAGUUUGUGCUCAUGGACCAGUUAUCUCUGUGUCCACCACUACUUGUAAGACCUGGGAAGGUAGAUGUUCCUGAUAAAUUGGACUUUCCUGCUCUGAUGAUUGCUUUGCAGAAAGGACAUGACAGGGCUCUGGGAGGAGUCUCCAGGACUGCAGCCCAACACGGAGCUUUGGUGAUUGUGGUUCCAGGUGCCACAGGAACCAGGGGAUGGAUCUUGCUUCUCAUAUCUGCAGUUCUGCAAAGCAUUGAUCAUCGCGGUGCUCUUUCGGCCAAGCUCAGAGAUGUGGAGUUCACUAUACAGCCAUGUAAUCGAUGGUGAUAUUUGAUAUUCAAUUUAGAAACAAUAUCAUCUCUUAAUCUGACUUUGGGUCACAUCAACAAUGCAAACAGAUUUAUCUCCAGAUUUAAUAAAUAUUUGUCUUUUGCAACAUGUAAAAAUUAAAGCAUUUGGGUGGACACCACUGAGGAGAAUUUCUGCAGUGAAAAAUAUCAGGUUGCAAAAGUAAACAAAGUUUCCUCCUCCUUUUAUUUUUUAACUGUUAAAUUGAAUAUGCUGUUGUUUUUAUCUGGAAAUAGCUAGAAGUUUUCACAGGCAAGCAUGAAUAAUUUCUAUAUCUGAUUUCCCAAUUUAUUUUUUAAACAUAUUUCCAUCUAUAUUUCUGAUUUUUGUUUGUUUAGAACUUGGUUACUGUAUUAGAAGACAAGCAGAAAAAGCUGGGGGAAAAUCUGCUAUUUCCCUACCUUGCAACUCAGAGAUGGGUAAUGAUAAAAGUCAGGGAAGGUCUUUUGCUUUUAAGCAUAUCUAUAGUUUUAGAAUAGCUUUGUCCUUACAUUGAAACCAAAACCCUUUUGUAUCCAUUGUUAGAUGUAAAGGAAAAUAUUCACAUACACAAACAUUCCUUGUUGACAUUCCCUUGGGAAUACUGCAAGUCAUCUGUAAAUGAAAUGCUGGAUUUUUCUUUUCUUCUUUAAUGCUCUCCUUUCUUCUUUAAAACCUUUCUGUCUUCAUGACUGUCCCUCUAGUAAACAAAAUUAGCAAUUCUUACUGAAACUUGUUAAUAUUCAUCUUUAAAUUUUCCAAGGAGAGGCUGCCUAGCCUCAAAUCAUGAGCACAGUGCUGUGCAGCACAUUGAGCUGGGAUUAAAGAAUACAUUUAAGGUGUUCAGCUAGCUAACAUGCUAUCAGGAAAGCUUGGUAGGAAACUAUAAAGUUGAUCUAUCUUUGUAAAUAUAAAUAUAUACUUGAUCUUUUGGAUUUCAGUUAUUUGCAGCCUUAAUGGAAAAAUAAUUGGGUAUUAGCCUGGAACUUUCAGACAAAUCUUCGCUAUCGUCCUGUCUGGCAGGGACAUUGGCUGGGAGGUACACAGAAGUUGUCACUGUCAAAUUCAAACCAACAAAGUUAUUCUUCUUUUUAAAGAUGUAAAAUCAUUAUUUUAACCUUUGGCUUAGCCUGGCAUUAAAUAGUAGCUGGAUUUACUUACCACAUACAAUAAUGGAGUAUUUGUAUCCUGCGUACUGUACUCUGAAAUGGACAGUUGAACUAAGCUUGAAGGGAGGAAGGUUAUUUUUAAAUCAACACUGCUUUAGUAGCAGACCAUAUCUGUUGCAUAGUAAGUAAAAAGACUGAUUUACUGUUAAAGAUAAAUGACAUUCAUUGCUAGCAUUUUCUACAGUGAAACGCUCUGCAGGUUAGGGAUUCCUCUGCAAAUACCUGAGAUCCCAGAAGCUGCAGGGCAGGGAGCUGGGAGCUUCCUGAAAUCGCAGGCAUGCUCACACACCACUGAAAUGCAGAGCGUGCAAGGCCAUUUAUCUGCAUAGACUUAAACACCUGCAAAGUCACCUGUCCAGCCUCCCUGCCCAAAGCCAGUUCUGGCCCAUGGUAAACAGGUAAGCGACUUGUGCAGGAUUAAAUUUCUGCUCCGUAAUCAGCUGGACAAGGACUGCUCUAUUAGACA